GUUUCUCUCUUCAAACUUGUCUCUUCUCUCCUUCUUGCGCAGUGUCGUCUUCUUCAGGUGGUGUUGCUGCGUUUUCUCCCUACUGGUGGUUUGGCUUUUAGACGCUCACCCACUCUCGCUUCUCUUUUGUUCUCUCCCGUCUGUGAAGUGGUUAAACUCCUUGCCAUAGUGUUGACGCCGAGCUCUGUCAAAUGGGUGACAAGAUUUUUAGAGGUCAAAUUCAAGACAUAGAUAAUACACUGCAUGAGUCAGGUAAGCGGGGUUCCUAUGCUAAGUUUUAUACAAGUUAAUAAGACUGAGGUUGACUUUAUGAAAACUUGCAUAUUUUGUGAUGUAAUGGGAACUUGGGAAA
Juglans microcarpa x Juglans regia is the source of this 352-nucleotide long non-coding RNA. RefSeq lists it as uncharacterized. NCBI's taxonomy places the organism in Eukaryota, Viridiplantae, Streptophyta, Magnoliopsida, Fagales, Juglandaceae. The record is from RefSeq and is a predicted model, not a curated record. The transcript is spliced from 3 exons.